Long non-coding RNA from Equus caballus (horse), 1223 nucleotides. The record is from Ensembl. NCBI's taxonomy places the organism in Eukaryota, Metazoa, Chordata, Mammalia, Perissodactyla, Equidae.
UGUGAAUCUCAGAAAAUUGCUCCACCGACCACCUGGCAGCUCAGACCACAAGACUAGAAGACAGCAAGGAAGACCAGUUCAUCCAUGGUCUUAGAAAACCAAGAGUUGUCACUACUGUCAAGAGUUCAUGUUCUGCUUCUGGCUGUGGGGAACAGAGGAGCCCAGGAAGGAGUGGAAAGUAACUGGAAACUAGAGGAGCUGACAGGGCAGCCAGGUUAGAACUGGCUGUCAAUCAAGGCUGGGUUCCUGGCACAAAGCUUCUAAAACUCUUGGACUUCCCAAGUGACAGAAGUGUCUUUGCUACUCAUGAGCCCCGUGGAUCACACCUGAAUUUAUGCUAUGAGAUGACUCAAGAUACCCUGAAAGAGAAGAGAUUGAUUUUUUUUUUAGUGUCAGGCACUGAAGUGUAUGAGUUGCAAUGAGUCGGCAGCAUCCUUCCGAAGAUGCCUGACUUCUGAUGCCUGACACUGAACACUCUUAUCACCUCUGUCUUCAAAGUUUGGCUUCCAGACCUUUGGAUUAUGCCUGAAAACUGUUAGCUUAGGUUCUGUAGUUUCUGCCUUCACCUCUUGGCUUACAAACAAUUGCCUCUGAUGUAGUGGAAACUUUAAUAUUCAGCUUUCCUAUCUCAGCUCCACUCCUACCCAGCCCUCGCUGGGUUUUAAUUUUAUUAACCUGGUCCCAUUAGUGUCUACCUCCAUAGGGAUGGAGGUACCUUCGUGCCUAUAGUCUGAAUUUUUCCCUUCAGUGAAAAACAAAGAUUCCUUGCUACACAAUCUUUAAUAUCAGUGCCUUAGGACUUCCCAGUGUCUUCAAUCUUCAAUACCUCUUAUAUUACUAGGCUAUCAUUCUCUCUAGAUGUUUGGUAUUCCUGUACUUGAAUGAUGCAGGAGAUAUAUUUGCUCUCCUCUCAGUCCUUUAGUGUGUUUUGGCAAGGAUUCAGCAAAAGCUUCUGUUACCCAUUUAACAUAUUGAAGGAAAUACUUUUAGAUAAGGAGGAGCCAAAUUUCUGGAAUCUUCUGUCUACUUAUGUAUGCAGAGAACCACAGGCCCUUCUGAUGUCCUGCUCAUUAUUGAAUGUUUCUGUACCAUUUACUCCUUGGAGCUGCUUAUCUCAUUUUUGAAUGUGCCAUAUUUUGAAACAUUCCUUUAAAAUAUUUUAUUUAUCACUGUCAAAUGUUUGAAAUGCACGAAGUCCUCAAAAUGUAAACAUAAGAACAAAC